GACGAACGCUGGCGGCGUGCCUAACACAUGCAAGUCGAACGAGUCCAAUCCUUCGGGAUUGAGGCGAGUGGCGGACGGGUGAGUAACACGUGAGCAAUCUAUCCUGUUGCGGGGACAACGAGGGAAACCUUCGCUAAUACCGCAUGGUCGAGAGAAGCGAUGCUUCUUCCGGGAAACGUGGCCUCUUUACAAUGCUACGGCGGCAGGCGGAGCUCGCGGGCUAUCAGCUGGUUGGUGAGGUAACGGCUCACCAAGGCGACGACGGCUACGGGGUCUGAGAGGACGACCCCGCACAUUGGAACUGAGACACGGUCCAGACUCCUACGGGAGGCAGCAGUGGGGAAUAUUGGGCAAUGGCCGAAAGGCUGACCCGAGCGACGCCGCGUGUGGAGGAAGCCUCGGGUGUAAACCACUGUCAGAGGGGACGAAAGAUUUCACGGUGAAUAAUCGU
This 451-nucleotide ribosomal RNA is filed under the name uncultured bacterium. RNAcentral describes it as "bacterial SSU rRNA". It matches the Rfam family "Bacterial small subunit ribosomal RNA", at positions 28 to 470 of the family's 1533-position model. The record is from RNAcentral.